AUAUAUAGAGAGAGAGAGAGAGAGAGAGAGAGAGAGAGAGAGAGAGAGAGAGAGAGCGUCUGGUAUGUUCUGGAAGCACGAAGCACUCCGUGCUUCCAAGUUGUUUUCGAUGUUCAGACUUUCGAAUCGACGAUCGGCUCCAUUAGACUUGAUCUAGAGUAUUUGAAAUAUCUAGAAAAUAAAUUUUGCGAUUUUUCGAUAUUAUUUGCCUAGUGAUCGAAGUGGCUCAAAAUCAACGGCUGAAUAAAAAUUUUACAAAAUAUGAGAUAUGGCAUUAAAAUUUUAGAUCAAGUUAUUGAUCUUAUUUUAUAUGGUAUAAAGAUUUUCUAUCAAAAUUUUAUAUGAUUUGGAUAUUUUUACACCGUUAAACUUGCAAACGGCUCACACGGCCUUUAAAAUUAUUGAUUUUGAACCCCCUUUCGAUCACUAGGCUAAUGAUAUCGAAAAAUCACAAAAUUUAUUUUCUAGAUACUUCAAAUACUCUAGAUCAAGUCUAACGGAGCGAUCGUCGAUUCGAAAGUCCCGAACAUGGAAGCAAUGAAGGGCUCGUGCUUCUAGAAACAUACCAGCCCCCUCUCUCUCUCUCUCUCUCUCUCUCUCUCUCUCUCUAUAUAUAUAUAUAUAUAUAUAUUAUAUAUAUAAUAAUAUAUAUAUUAUAUAUAUAUUAUAUAGUGCGGCUAGGAUGCUUAUGGAAGCACGGAGGGCUCCGUCCUUCCACUUUGUUAUUCGUGUUCGGACUUUCGAAUCGACGAUCGGCUCCGUUAGAGUUGAUCUAGAGUAUUUGAAGUAUCUAGAAAAUAAAUUUUGGAUAUCAUUUGCCUAGUGAUCGAAGUGGCUCAAAAUCAACGGCUGAAAAUAAAAAUCUUACAAAAUAUGAUGAUAUAACAUUAAAAUUUUAGACCAAAGUUAUUGAUCUUGUUUUAUAUGGUAUAAAGAAUUUUCUAUCAAAAUUUCAUAUGAUUUGAAUAUUUCUACACUGUUAAACUUGCAACCGGCUUACCAUGGCCCUUAAAAUUAUUGAUUUUGAGCUCCUUCAAUCACUAGGCAAAUGAUAUCGAAAAAUCGCAAAAUUUAUUUUCCAGGUACUUCAAAUACUCUAGAUCAACUCUAACGGCGCCGAUCGUCGAUUCGAAAGUCCGAACAUCGAAAACGACUUGGAAGCACGGAGGCCUCCGUGCUUCCAUAAGUAUACCAGCACAACUCUCUCUCUCUCUCUCUAUAUAUAUAUAUAGUGUGAGGCUACUAUGCUUCUGGAAGCACGGAGCCUUCCGUGAUUCCAGGUUUUUUCGAUGUUGCGACUUUCGAAUCGUCAAUCAGCUCCGUUAAACAUGAUUUAAAGUAUUUGAAGUACCUAGAAAAUAAAUUAUGCGAUUUUUUGAUAUUAUUUGCCUAGUGAACGAAGGGGCUCAAAAUCAACGGUUGAAAUUAAGAAUCUUACAAAACGUGAUAAUAUGACAUUAAAAUUUUAGAUCAAAGAUAUUGAUCUUGUUUUAUAUAGUAUAAAUUUCACGUGAUUUGAAUUAAAAUUUCAAAAUUUAUUUCAAAUAUGCUAGAUCAAGUCUAACGGAGUCGAUCGUCGAUUUGAGAACUCUA
This 1593-nucleotide long non-coding RNA is filed under the name Ananas comosus (pineapple). RNAcentral's name for it is "long non-coding RNA (ACOM_LNC023712)". Lineage: Eukaryota; Viridiplantae; Streptophyta; Magnoliopsida; Poales; Bromeliaceae. The record is from RNAcentral.